RNAcentral lists this ribosomal RNA (366 nucleotides) under uncultured bacterium. RNAcentral describes it as "bacterial SSU rRNA". It matches the Rfam family "Bacterial small subunit ribosomal RNA", at positions 335 to 687 of the family's 1533-position model. The record is from RNAcentral.
ACUCCUACGGGAGGCAGCAGUGGGGAAUAUUGCACAAUGGGCGCAAGCCUGAUGCAGCCAUGCCGCGUGUAUGAAGAAGGCCUUGGGUUGUAAAGUUACUUUCUAGCAGUGAGGAAGGUGGUGCAGUUAAUAGUCUGUAUCUAUUUGUACGUUAGCUGCAGAAGAAGCACCGGCUAACUCCGUGCCAGCAGCCGCGGUAAGUACGGAGGGUGCGAGCGUUAAUCGGAAUUACGUGGCGUAAAGCGCAUGCAGGUGGUUUGUUAAGUCAGAUGUGAAAGCCCGGGGCUCAACCUCGGAAUUGCAUUUGAAACUGGCAGACUAGAGUACUGUAGAGGGGGUUAGAAUUUCGAGGUGUAGCGGUGAAAU